UACGUAGGGUGCAAGCGUUGUCCGGAAUUAUUGGGCGUAAAGAGCUCGUAGGCGGUCUGUUGCGUCGGCUGUGAAAACCCGAGGCUCAACCUCGGGCCUGCAGCCGAUACGGGCAGACUAGAGUUCGGCAGGGGAGACUGGAAUUCCUGGUGUAGCGGUGAAAUGCGCAGAUACCAGGAGGAACACCGGUGGCGAAGGCGGGUCUCUGGGCCGAUACUGACGCUGAGGAGCGAAAGCGUGGGGAGCGAACAGG
RNAcentral lists this ribosomal RNA (253 nucleotides) under uncultured bacterium. RNAcentral's name for it is "partial 16S ribosomal RNA". It matches the Rfam family "Bacterial small subunit ribosomal RNA", at positions 524 to 776 of the family's 1533-position model. The record is from RNAcentral.